Cercocebus atys (sooty mangabey) is the source of this 78-nucleotide unclassified non-coding RNA. It matches the Rfam family "Y RNA". From Rfam's summary of the family: Y RNAs are components of the Ro ribonucleoprotein particle (Ro RNP), in association with Ro60 and La proteins. The Y RNAs and Ro60 and La proteins are well conserved, but the function of the Ro RNP is not known. The record is from Ensembl. NCBI's taxonomy places the organism in Eukaryota, Metazoa, Chordata, Mammalia, Primates, Cercopithecidae.
AGUUGGUCUGAGGGUGUUGGGUUGUUGUUAAGCUGAGUAACAUUGUCUCCUUCCACAACCAUGCUUGACUAGUUUUUU